RNAcentral lists this ribosomal RNA (746 nucleotides) under uncultured Glomerales. Its description in RNAcentral is "LSU rRNA". It matches the Rfam family "Eukaryotic large subunit ribosomal RNA", at positions 38 to 633 of the family's 3401-position model. The record is from RNAcentral. Lineage: Eukaryota; Fungi; Glomeromycota; Glomeromycetes; Glomerales; Glomeraceae.
GCAUAUCAAUAAGCGGAGGAAAAGAAAAUAACAAUGAUUCCCUUAGUAACGGCGAGUGAAAGGGGAUAAGCUCAAAUUUUAAAUCUGCUAGGUCUUACCUAUCAGAGUUGUAAUUUGAAGAAGCGUUUUCCGCGUCUCGGUUGACCCAAAUCCUUUGGGAUAUGGUAUCAUGGAGGGUGAGAAUCCCGUUCGGUUGACCUUGUGACGCUUUACGAUACGUUUUCUAAGAGUCGAGUUGUUUGGGAUUGCAGCUCAAAAUGGGAGGUAAAUUUCUCCUAAGGCUAAAUAUUGGCGAGAGACCGAUAGCGAACAAGUACCGUGAGGGAAAGAUGAAAAGAACUUUGAAAAGAGAGUAAAAUAGUACGUGAAAUUGUUGAAAGGGAAACGAUUGAAGUCAGUCGUACCGACGGAAAAUCAGCUCUUUAGUGCGGACUUGUGGGCUUACGUGAGUUUUAACACCUCGCUGUUUGCAACGUUCGUGCUUUUUGGGUGUACUUUUUCGUAUGGUAGGCCAAUGUCAGUUUCGAUCGCUAUAAAAUGACCGGCGGAAUGUAGCUUCGAUCUUGUAUUGAAGUGUUAUAGCCUCUGGUAGAUGUGGUGAUCGGGACUGAGGAUUGCAACGAAUACCUUUUGGGCUAUCCGUCUGAUCUCUGAAGGUUACUUAGGUGCCGAAAGCGUGCUUACGGUUAUUUAAGUUGACAGUCAAAAGGUUAGAACGGAUUAUAUUCGUUAAGGAUGUUGACGUA